GCCUCCGGUACCCACAGGCGGUUUAGCCGGAGAAAACAUAAGUGCCGGUACCCACGGGCGGUUUAGCCGGCAAAUAAACAACAAAAGAAAAAUUUUUUAUUAAGUGCAUACCAUAUAAACCCG
Molecule: long non-coding RNA, 123 nt
Organism: Ipomoea nil (Japanese morning glory)
Lineage: Eukaryota; Viridiplantae; Streptophyta; Magnoliopsida; Solanales; Convolvulaceae
Exons: 4
Source: RefSeq, a predicted model, not a curated record